RNAcentral lists this ribosomal RNA (798 nucleotides) under uncultured bacterium. Its description in RNAcentral is "bacterial SSU rRNA". It matches the Rfam family "Bacterial small subunit ribosomal RNA", at positions 1 to 796 of the family's 1533-position model. The record is from RNAcentral.
UCGCCCUUAGAGUUUGAUCCUGGCUCAGGACGAACGCUGGCGGCGUGCCUAACACAUGCAAGUCGAGCGAAGUGCUUACAAGAGAUUCCUUCGGGAUGACCAUGUAAGUAUCUUAGCGGCAAACGGGUGAGUAACGCGUGAGAAACCUGUCUUUCACAAAGGGAUAGCCUCGGGAAACCGGGAUUAAUACCUUAUGAUACUAAAGUAAUGCAUAUUACCUUAGUUAAAGUGCAAAACGGUGAUUGAGGGUCUCGCGUCCCAUUAGCUAGUUGGUAGGAUAAAAGCCUACCAAGGCAACGAUGGGUAACCGGCCUGAGAGGGUGAACGGUCACACUGGAACUGAGACACGGUCCAGACUUCUACGGGAGGCAGCAGUGGGGAAUAUUGCACAAUGGAGGAAACUCUGAUGCAGCGACGUCGCGUGAACGAUGAAGGCUUUCGAGUCGUAAAGUUCUGUCUUUAGGGACGAUAAUGACGGUACCUAAAGAGGAAGCCCCGGCUAACUACGUGCCAGCAGCCGCGGUAAUACGUAGGGGGCGAGCGUUGUCCGGAUUUAUUGGGCGUAAAGGGUUCGCAGGCGGCCUUUUAAGUCAGAUGUGAAAUCCCAUAGCUCAACUAUGGUAAGCAUUUGAAACUGGAAGGCUUGAGUUAAGGAGAGGAAAGUGGAAUUCCUAGUGUAGCGGUGAAAUGCGUAGAUAUUAGGAGGAAUACCAGUGGCGAAGGCGACUUUCUGGACUUACACUGACGCUGAGGAACGAAAGCGUGGAUAGCAAACAGGAUUAGAUACCCUGGUAGUCC